This 418-nucleotide ribosomal RNA is filed under the name uncultured Oscillospiraceae bacterium. RNAcentral's name for it is "bacterial SSU rRNA". It matches the Rfam family "Bacterial small subunit ribosomal RNA", at positions 355 to 787 of the family's 1533-position model. The record is from RNAcentral. Lineage: Bacteria; Bacillati; Bacillota; Clostridia; Eubacteriales; Oscillospiraceae.
UGGGGAAUAUUGGGCAAUGGGCGAAAGCCUGACCCAGCGACGCCGCGUGAGGGAAGAAGGUCUUCGGAUUGUAAACCUUAGUUAGCAGGGAAGAAGAAAGUGACGGUACCUGCAGAGAAAGCCACGGCUAACUACGUGCCAGCAGCCGCGGUAAUACGUAGGUGGCAAGCGUUGUCCGGAUUUACUGGGUGUAAAGGGCGAGUAGGCGGACCUGCAAGUCAGAUGUGAAAUCCCCGGGCUUAACCCGGGAACUGCAUUUGAAACUGUAGGCCUUGAGUGAUGGAGAGGCAGGCGGAAUUCCCGGUGUAGCGGUGGAAUGCGUAGAUAUCGGGAGGAACACCAGUGGCGAAGGCGGCCUGUUGGACAUUAACUGACGCUGAGGAGCGAAAGCGUGGGGAGCAAACAGGAUUAGAUACCC